RNAcentral lists this ribosomal RNA (309 nucleotides) under uncultured bacterium. RNAcentral's name for it is "partial 16S ribosomal RNA". It matches the Rfam family "Bacterial small subunit ribosomal RNA", at positions 504 to 807 of the family's 1533-position model. The record is from RNAcentral.
AGAGACAGCAGCCGCCGCGGGAAUACGAAGGGGGCUAGCGUUGUUCGGAUUAACUGGGCGUAAAGGGCGCGUAGGCGGGUUUUUAAGUCAGAGGUGAAAGCCCGGGGCUCAACCCCGGAAUAGCCUUUGAGACUGCAUAGCUUGAACACGGGAGAGGUGAGUGGAAUUCCGAGUGUAGAGGUGAAAUUCGUAGAUAUUCGGAAGAACACCAGUGGCGAAGGCGGCUCACUGGACCGUUGUUGACGCUGAGGUGCGAAAGCGUGGGGAGCAAACAGGAUUAGAUACCCCCGUAGUCCCUGUCUCUUAUAC